This 253-nucleotide ribosomal RNA is filed under the name uncultured bacterium. RNAcentral's name for it is "partial 16S ribosomal RNA". It matches the Rfam family "Bacterial small subunit ribosomal RNA", at positions 524 to 776 of the family's 1533-position model. The record is from RNAcentral.
UACGUAGGGCGCAAGCGUUGUCCGGAAUUAUUGGGCGUAAAGAGCUCGUAGGCGGUUUGUCGCGUCGGAUGUGAAACCCCGGGGCUUAACCCCGGGCCUGCAUUCGAUACGGGCUGACUAGAGUUCGGCAGGGGAGAGCGGAACUCCUGGUGUAGCGGUGGAAUGCGCAGAUAUCAGGAAGAACACCGGUGGCGAAGGCGGCUCUCUGGGCCUUACCUGACGCUGAGGAGCGAAAGCGUGGGUAGCGAACAGG